UGACCCCGCUUGCGUUCCAAAUCCCUAAGUGUGUACUUUCUUCAAUGUUUGUACCUCCAGAAGAAGUGUAAUAUUUAAAAACAUACUGUUCUUAUCCCAUUUCCCUUUGAGUCUGCUUUAACACUAUACACUGGUAUUUACUGUUUAAGUUUAUUAGAUGGAUUGUCUGAAUCAUGUGACAGUAAUUGACCAAUUAACUAAAAGACUGUCAGUUCACUUCACCUUUGAAAAAGCAGCAGUAUUGGGCUGUACUCCCUGGUCACCAAAAUUCUAAUGGAUGGAUUCAAUCAUUGCCUGAACCUUUCUAACCAUCAUUGGUCUUGGACUCUUUUACCAAAGGAUCGGAUUACACCUAAAGGACACCAUAACUCUGGUGAAGACCACGCAAGUUGCAGAUCUAUGCUUAUGCGACUUUUGUUUCCUCCACUGGUGGAAUUGUAUCACGAACCGUUUCCUGGGACUGCACCUUCAGUCUUAAGAAGUGCCGUUGUCCUUGUAUAAGCGCUACUGGUCCGGUAUAGUCAAUAGGUACAGGCCAAACCCAUACGAACAUUUAUGCCCGGAAGCACGCGACCACACAGUGGAGGGAGAUAAUCUAAAGAAGACCGUCAUGUGGUCCACGUGCGUUCCAUGGACCGGAAGCACGCGGCUGCUCCCGGGAGAAACUUGUGUGCAAAAAGCUUCACCGGACGGACGGAACUGUGUGUCACUUUGGGAGACGGGUUCCGCAGCCAGCUUCCUCGUAACAUCAAAGGCACAUAUUUCUUGAAAAUCCGGUAAACCUCCAACUUUACCUUUUUAUAUCAGGGGAUAUUUGAGCUGUAUUCUUUCCAGUGAGACUCAUUAUUCAACGCUGAUUUUAUUAUUAUUUGUGGUAAUUCUCCAUCUAUUACCUUUUAUGUAUUGGCAAUUUUUAUUUGUAUAUAUUAAAAUUACUUUUCUCUGAACCUA
Long non-coding RNA from Pseudophryne corroboree (corroboree frog), 951 nucleotides. RefSeq lists it as uncharacterized. The transcript has 2 exons. Lineage: Eukaryota; Metazoa; Chordata; Amphibia; Anura; Myobatrachidae. The record is from RefSeq and is a predicted model, not a curated record.